RNAcentral lists this ribosomal RNA (579 nucleotides) under Nakamurella sp. HRRP057. RNAcentral's name for it is "bacterial SSU rRNA". It matches the Rfam family "Bacterial small subunit ribosomal RNA", at positions 102 to 694 of the family's 1533-position model. The record is from RNAcentral. Lineage: Bacteria; Bacillati; Actinomycetota; Actinomycetes; Nakamurellales; Nakamurellaceae.
ACGGGUGAGUAACACGUGGGCAACCUGCCCUCAGCUUUGGGAUAACUCCCGGAAACGGGUGCUAAUACCGGAUAUUGACUUUUCCCCGCAUGGGGUUUGGUUGAAAGUUUUUUCGGCUGAGGAUGGGCCCGCGGCCUAUCAGCUUGUUGGUGGGGUAAUGGCCUACCAAGGCGACGACGGGUAGCCGGCCUGAGAGGGCGACCGGCCACACUGGAACUGAGACACGGUCCAGACUCCUACGGGAGGCAGCAGUGGGGAAUAUUGCGCAAUGGGCGGAAGCCUGACGCAGCGACGCCGCGUGAGGGAUGACGGCCUUCGGGUUGUAAACCUCUUUCAGCAGGGACGAAGAGUGAUUGACGGUACCUGCAGAAGAAGCACCGGCCAACUACGUGCCAGCAGCCGCGGUAAUACGUAGGGUGCAAGCGUUGUCCGGAAUUAUUGGGCGUAAAGAGCUCGUAGGCGGUCUGUCGCGUCGAAUGUGAAAAUCCGGGGCUCAACUCCGGACCUGCAUUCGAUACGGGCAGACUAGAGUUCGGUAGGGGAGACUGGAAUUCCUGGUGUAGCGGUGAAAUGCGCAGA